AUCCAGCUGACGAGUCCUAGAUAGAAUGAAACGCGCCUCUUGUAU
Non-coding RNA from Schistosoma haematobium, 45 nucleotides. The record is from Rfam. Lineage: Eukaryota; Metazoa; Platyhelminthes; Trematoda; Strigeidida; Schistosomatidae.